GGGAUUGUGUCUCAGCGGUAGAGCACUCGCCUAGCACGUGUGAGGACUUGAGUUCGAUCCUCAGCAACACA
RNAcentral lists this transfer RNA (71 nucleotides) under Marmota monax (woodchuck). RNAcentral's name for it is "tRNA.Ala". The record is from RNAcentral. Lineage: Eukaryota; Metazoa; Chordata; Mammalia; Rodentia; Sciuridae.